ACAAAGGAGAAACUGUCAAGGAACAAGAAAACAACUCAGACUCUAAUGAAAGGCUGAUACUGAGAAGAUCAGAGCGGGACUCAUAGAGACUUGCUAACCUGCCUGGAGAAAGGGUAUUUGAGGGAGAAGGGACCAGAGAGCCCUGGACCUGAAAAACCUUCCCAAUGAAAACUUGGUUGAAACUGAACACACCAGGACUGAAAAGGCACUUAAAGAGGGGAUCAUCCUACCAGAGACUGUUGCGAUGGAGAUCACAUCUGUUCAGUCUCUAACCUCUUUGUUGAGGCUGACCAGUGAUUUCUGUGAUACGGGCACCUGUCCACUAAGAAUGCGACUGAGACUGGAAAUCUACAGCCAUCCAGAGACCAGGUUGGUAACAACUUUUGUUUG
Chelonia mydas (Green sea turtle) is the source of this 390-nucleotide long non-coding RNA. RefSeq lists it as uncharacterized. The transcript has 3 exons. The record is from RefSeq and is a predicted model, not a curated record. Lineage: Eukaryota; Metazoa; Chordata; Testudines; Cheloniidae.